Molecule: non-coding RNA, 76 nt
Organism: Podarcis lilfordi (Lilford's wall lizard)
Lineage: Eukaryota; Metazoa; Chordata; Lepidosauria; Squamata; Lacertidae
Source: the annotation of a GenBank genome assembly
GGAGGUAUCAUAGCUCAGUGGUAGAACAGCUGCUUUGCAUACAGAAGAUCUCAAGUUCAAUCCCCUGGCAUCUCCA